UCGGGUGUGGUGUACGGAACACGCUCCCUCUUCUUAAAUUGGGGAGAAGAAGUAGUGAAGGGAGAGACCCGGGUUCGAUUCCCGGUGCCCGAA
This is a non-coding RNA of Mycena leptocephala, 93 nucleotides long. NCBI's taxonomy places the organism in Eukaryota, Fungi, Basidiomycota, Agaricomycetes, Agaricales, Mycenaceae. The record is from the annotation of a GenBank genome assembly.